GGCCUUUUGGUUAUAUUUAAGGUCUAGCCUGCUCUAUGAAUUUUAUUUAAAUGGCCGCGGUAAUUUGACCGUGCAAAGGUAGCAUAAUAAUUAGUUUUUUAAUUGAAAGCUGGAAUGAACGGCUGAAUGAGGAAAUGACUGUCUCUUAAAAAUUUUAUUAGAACUUUAUUUUUAAGUAAAAAAGCUUAAAUUUUAUUUAAAGACGAGAAGACCCUUUAGAAUUUUAUAUAAUUUUUAAAAAUAAUUUUUUAGAAUUUAAAUUUUAUUAUUGGAUAUUAUAUUUGGUUGGGGUGAUUGAAAAAUUUAUUAAACUUUUUUUAUAUAUAAAACAUUGAUUUAUGAUUAUUUGAUCCAUUAUUUAUGAUUAUAAGAAUAAAUUACCUAAGGGAUAACAGCGUUAUUUUUUUUGAGAGUUCUUAUCGAAAAAAAAGAUUGCGACCUCGAUGUUGGAUUAAAAUUAAAUUAAGGUGCAGCAGCUUUAACUUUAGGUCUGUUCGACCUUUAAAAUUUUACA
This 514-nucleotide ribosomal RNA is filed under the name Trimenus parallelopipedus. RNAcentral describes it as "partial 16S ribosomal RNA". It matches the Rfam family "Bacterial large subunit ribosomal RNA", at positions 1829 to 2600 of the family's 2925-position model. Lineage: Eukaryota; Metazoa; Arthropoda; Insecta; Coleoptera; Nitidulidae. The record is from RNAcentral.